Molecule: ribosomal RNA, 509 nt
Filed under: uncultured Glomus
Lineage: Eukaryota; Fungi; Glomeromycota; Glomeromycetes; Glomerales; Glomeraceae
Description: SSU rRNA
Rfam family: Eukaryotic small subunit ribosomal RNA
Source: RNAcentral
AGCAGCCGCGGUAAUUCCAGCUCCAAUAGCGUAUAUUAAAGUUGUUGCAGUUAAAAAGCUCGUAGUUGAAUUUCGGGAUCAAUACGUCGGUCAUGCUUUUUGGUACGAACUGGCGUCAUUGGUUUCUCCUUUCUGACGAACCAUGAUGUCAUUAAUUUGGUGUUAUGGGGAGUUGGGACUGUUACUUUGAAAAAAUUAGAGUGUUUAAAGCAGGCAUAAGCUUGAAUACAUUAGCAUGGAAUAAUGAAAUAGGACGUUUGAUCCUAUUUUGUUGGUUUCUAGGAUCAACGUAAUGAUUAAUAGGGAUAGUUGGGGGCAUUAGUAUUCAAUUGUCAGAGGUGAAAUUCUUGGAUUUAUUGAAGACUAACUACUGCGAAAGCAUUUGCCAAGGAUGUUUUCAUUAAUCAAGAACGAAAGUUAGGGGAUCGAAGACGAUCAGAUACCGUCGUAGUCUUAACCAUAAACUAUGCCGACUAGGGAUCGGAUGAUGUUAAUUUUUUAAUGACUCA